GUUCAUUUGCAUACAGCCCAUGAGCCACUGAGUGAGGAUUUACAACUUGAAUUUACAGGGAGAAUCGUAAGGGGAGAAAUAGCUUUUUAAAGCGACUAUGAUGACUCCUGAUGUUUGCUCGGAGAAAGUAAUACAAUCACAGUGGAAGCUUUUUUUCAACAUCAUAACAUAAAAGAAGGUUGCUCGUUGGCAGAAGCUGGAGCUAACAGCGGGAGCUUAACCUGCUCCUUGGAUUCGAACCGUCAACCUUUUGGACAGCAAGUUCAGCACCUCAGCAGUUUAACCUGCUGCACCACGAGGGGGGAGCAAUACAAUAAAAUUGUGCUACAUUAAGCUUA
This is a long non-coding RNA of Anolis sagrei ordinatus, 338 nucleotides long. RefSeq lists it as uncharacterized. NCBI's taxonomy places the organism in Eukaryota, Metazoa, Chordata, Lepidosauria, Squamata, Anolidae. The record is from RefSeq and is a predicted model, not a curated record.